Long non-coding RNA from Daphnia pulex (common water flea), 2549 nucleotides. RefSeq lists it as uncharacterized. NCBI's taxonomy places the organism in Eukaryota, Metazoa, Arthropoda, Branchiopoda, Diplostraca, Daphniidae. The record is from RefSeq and is a predicted model, not a curated record. The transcript is spliced from 5 exons.
UGGUCGUUGGUUGUCUCCACCUAGCGUUAAGAAUUGUAAACUCUUCUUUGGAUUAAGAAAGGAAACAAACAGAAUGCGAAUCACAAUAACAACGUCAGGAAAGUGUUCAGUGAUGAAACUCAUUAACUCAAAUCUUGCAGCAAAAGAAAUUCGUUUUUCAGUGAGAAAAGGUUUUUACCCCUGCUGCAACAGAAUGUGGAGCAAUUUGUGACACAUGGUGUUAGGAAUACCACAAUAUCUUCAAUAAUUUUCUCGCUGUUGAAGAUUUUUGGGAGUGUGAGCUCAACCAACUUGUAUACUGUGUACAUCCGUUCCCCAAAUUCUUUCGAAUGGUAUUUUUAUUAUCACCCUGGCAUUAAUUAAUCGUAUUCACUGCUUGGACUUGUGGAUCUUGAAACUCAAAGUGCCGCAGACCUUCUCUGCAUUCCACACAUAUUUCCUUUCUUCGAUGACCAUUAGAAGAAAACCGGAUGUGACAGGUGUAGAGAACUUGAUGUCAUCACAAUUUCACUGAUAAGCUAAAUGGAGCAGUAGUAAUUCAUUUGCUAUAAAUUGUAAUUUUAUUUUCAUGACUACCUGCAGCUUUUUUUCAAUUCCUCUAAUACAGCGAAAUAUUUUUCGUCAAAGUUAGCAAAAAUGUGACGAGCUCUUACUUUGGGGUAUGGCAAGGAAGUCUCACGGACUAAUGUCCCUAUCCCUCUGUGGUGUUUUUCCGUCCUCAAAGCAACAUUGCAGUUCAUGGCAGAAUAGGUGAUCCCCGUUUGGAGAAUUUUUUCAACACCAAAUAUCGCAGCCCUCGCAUUCAUGUAUUGUAGUUAUGCCUCCGUUGGCUUGACGAAGUGCACUGAAUUUUGCUCCAGGUUGUCACUAUUAAAUUUACGAGUAAGUACAAACUGAAAUCCCACUUAAAGUAAAUGUUCGAUUUUGGCAAUUGUAGAUUUAGUAGUUAUUACGAUGGCCUCGUACAUUUCAUCAGAAAGAAAAUGAUUUUUUUCUUCAGCGUUCAUCUUCCAUUUUUCUAACCAUUUGAUGAAAUCUCGCAGCCACUGCAGUCGAAGAUCAUAUUUUGAGGUGAAUGGUGCUUUAUUUGGUAGGCGCUUGUGAAUUGCUUGCGUAACAUUGCAUAUAACAUGUAUUUCAAACCAUUUUAUGAUUUUUAUGAGGAAUGAAAUAGUUUCUUCACUGCCCAAGAAUCCGGACACCUUUAACCGGCGAUACGAUUCUAAAGUUUUUAGCCAUCGGACGGCUAAAAAUAUCCAGCGCCCGUUGCUCGUUUUUGUCUCUCGAUUUUGGUAGGCUCCAGGUGUCUUUGGGUAAGUUUUCUCACUGGCUGAAGAAACUUUUUUUUUCAUGUAGUCUCCUUAUGAAACGAAACGAUAUGUCUUUACCGUUUCUUUUCAAUGGUCGGUCAAUGAAUUGGUUUCGUAGGUUUUUAAUGAUAUGGGAAGAGUCAAAGCUGACACAAAAUUUUUUUUCUUCGUUGUUGGGAUGGGUAUUACAUGACUAACCUUACCUCCAGGGUUAAGCAUUUUGAACAUUUUUUUGUUAAUUGAAGCACCGCCACUAUUCCUUCGAUGGAAUAGCCGACGGACUCGACUUCUUUGAACGUGUGUUUCGAUCAUUGACUCAGUUCUUCUGCUGUUAAGUUGGCUAAGAGAAAGUAGCCAACUAUUAUGCAAAACGAAUGCGACAGUCCAUUGAUGGCAAAUGUCAAUAGUUUGUUUGCUAGUUUACCGACUUCUUUUGGCUGUACCACUCGUCUGGCUUGAUCGCCACCUCAUCCACAACAAUAUCCUUUAAAGCCAAAUCAGUGAGCCUGACGUCCACCGUUGAGGAUCCAGUGUAUCGUCGCAGCGUCUUGUGAGAAAAGGGCGAAGUACCUGCUGCUGUAACCGCAAAAGAUUGUACUUCAGCUCAGUUUUCACAUGGGAUUCAUCAUUAUCAGCGGAUAAGUCGCUUGCUGCAUCAACGGAUAAGUCGCUCGCUUCAUCAGCGGAAAAGUCGGUUGCUUCCAUCGUACUUGGAUCAUGUUCAGAAUCGGAAUCGUCCGACUACGAUUCUGAUUCAGCAUCGCAAUCCCAUGAGGAGCUACUACCCUCCAAAAAGGAUUCGGUAUCGUCGUCGUCAUUGACAGCAGACUUAUUUAUUAGACUUGAUUUAUAGAUAUAUUAUUUUUUUGAUUUAUUAGACUAUAGCUAAUUUUUAUAAUCAACUUAUUAAAUUUAAAAAAAAAAUUGUUGGCCGACGUAAGAAUCGUCAAAGUGUCCCGUCCUCUAGCUUAAGUAGUCCAUGACCAAAGUUGCAAGUCUUCCUGUCAGUGAAUAUCUAUGGUGUCUUUCUCUGUGUGUAUCUGAACUUCAAGCUGACAGGUUACAUAUAAUUUAAGUAAUAAAGACUACUGUUGAAAGAAAACACUCCGCGGUUUAUUCCUUUCAACAGCAUUUGUAUUUGUAAUAUUAUUUUAAAUUUAAUAUUGUCUUGAGUGUUAGCCAACCUUUUGGACUUUACCAACAACUGUGGGUUCAUCGGAUUCAUCAAGAUCGCAUUAA